CCUACGGGUGGCAGCAGUGGGGAAUAUUGGACAAUGGGCGAAAGCCUGAUCCAGCCAUGCCGCGUGUGUGAAGAAGGCCUUCGGGUUGUAAAGCACUUUCAGUGGGGAAGAAAGCCUUGGGGCUAAUACCCUCGAGGAAGGACAUCACCCACAGAAGAAGCACCGGCUAACUCCGUGCCAGCAGCCGCGGUAAUACGGAGGGUGCGAGUGUUAAUCGGAAUUACUGGGCGUAAAGCGCGCGUAGGCGGUCUGAUAAGCCGGUUGUGAAAGCCCCGGGCUCAACCUGGGAACGGCAUCCGGAACUGUCAGGCUAGAGUGCAGGGGAGGAAGGUAGAAUUCCCGGUGUAGCGGUGAAAUGCGUAGAGAUCGGGAGGAAUACCAGUGGCGAAGGCGGCCUUCUGGACUGACACUGACGCUGAGGUGCGAAAGCGUGGGUAGCAAACAGGAUUAGAUACCCUAGUAGUC
This 465-nucleotide ribosomal RNA is filed under the name Vreelandella stevensii. RNAcentral describes it as "partial 16S ribosomal RNA". It matches the Rfam family "Bacterial small subunit ribosomal RNA", at positions 338 to 795 of the family's 1533-position model. Lineage: Bacteria; Pseudomonadati; Pseudomonadota; Gammaproteobacteria; Oceanospirillales; Halomonadaceae. The record is from RNAcentral.